RNAcentral lists this ribosomal RNA (497 nucleotides) under uncultured bacterium. RNAcentral describes it as "partial 16S ribosomal RNA". It matches the Rfam family "Bacterial small subunit ribosomal RNA", at positions 28 to 507 of the family's 1533-position model. The record is from RNAcentral.
GAUGAACGCUGGCGGCGUGCCUAAUACAUGCAAGUCGAGCGAACGGACGAGAAGCUUGCUUUUCUGAUGUUAGCGGCGGACGGGUGAGUAACACGUGGAUAACCUACCUAUAAGACUGGGAUAACUUCGGGAAACCGGAGCUAAUACCGGAUAAUAUUUUGAACCGCAUGGUUCAAAAGUGAAAGACGGUCUUGCUGUCACUUAUAGAUGGAUCCGCGCUGCAUUAGCUAGUUGGUAAGGUAACGGCUUACCAAGGCAACGAUGCAUAGCCGACCUGAGAGGGUGAUCGGCCACACUGGAACUGAGACACGGUCCAGACUCCUACGGGAGGCAGCAGUAGGGAAUCUUCCGCAAUGGGCGAAAGCCUGACGGAGCAACGCCGCGUGAGUGAUGAAGGUCUUCGGAUCGUAAAACUCUGUUAUUAGGGAAGAACAUAUGUGUAAGUAACUGUGCACAUCUUGACGGUACCUAAUCAGAAAGCCACCGCUAACUACGUG